This 253-nucleotide ribosomal RNA is filed under the name uncultured bacterium. RNAcentral's name for it is "partial 16S ribosomal RNA". It matches the Rfam family "Bacterial small subunit ribosomal RNA", at positions 524 to 776 of the family's 1533-position model. The record is from RNAcentral.
UACGGAGGGUGCAAGCGUUGUCCGGAAUCACUGGGCGUAAAGGGCGCGUAGGCGGCGUUUUAAGUCGGGGGUGAAAGCCUGUGGCUCAACCACAGAAUGGCCUUCGAUACUGGGACGCUUGAGUAUGGUAGAGGUUGGUGGAACUGCGAGUGUAGAGGUGAAAUUCGUAGAUAUUCGCAAGAACACCGGUGGCGAAGGCGGCCAACUGGACCAUUACUGACGCUGAGGCGCGAAAGCGUGGGGAGCGAACAGG